This 253-nucleotide ribosomal RNA is filed under the name uncultured bacterium. Its description in RNAcentral is "partial 16S ribosomal RNA". It matches the Rfam family "Bacterial small subunit ribosomal RNA", at positions 524 to 776 of the family's 1533-position model. The record is from RNAcentral.
UACGUAGGGGGCAAGCGUUGUCCGGAAUUACUGGGCGUAAAGGGUGCGUAGGCGGCAUUUUAAGUCAGAUGUGAAAUACCCGAGCUUAACUCGGGGGGUGCAUUUGAAACUGGAAUACUUGAGUGCAGGAGAGGUAAGUGGAAUUCCUAGUGUAGCGGUGAAAUGCGUAGAUAUUAGGAGGAACACCAGUGGCGAAGGCGACUUACUGGACUGUAACUGACGCUGAGGCACGAAAGCGUGGGGAGCAAACAGG